AUACGGAGGGAGCGGGCGUUAAUCGGAAUUACUGGGCGUAAAGCGCGCGUAGGCGGCUUUGUAAGUCGGAUGUGAAAGCCCUGGGCUCAACCUGGGAAUGGCAUUCGAUACUGCAGAGCUAGAGUAUGGUAGAGGGAAGUGGAAUUUCCGGUGUAGCGGUGAAAUGCGUAGAUAUCGGAAGGAACACCAGUGGCGAAGGCGACUUCCUGGGCCAAUACUGACGCUGAGGUGCGAAAGCGUGGGGAGCAAACAGGAUUAGAUACCCCAGUAGUCC
This 274-nucleotide ribosomal RNA is filed under the name uncultured bacterium. Its description in RNAcentral is "partial 16S ribosomal RNA". It matches the Rfam family "Bacterial small subunit ribosomal RNA", at positions 523 to 796 of the family's 1533-position model. The record is from RNAcentral.